This is a long non-coding RNA of Apus apus (common swift), 2383 nucleotides long. RefSeq lists it as uncharacterized. The record is from RefSeq and is a predicted model, not a curated record. The transcript is spliced from 2 exons. Lineage: Eukaryota; Metazoa; Chordata; Aves; Apodiformes; Apodidae.
AGCCAGCUCCUCCGAGGGGCCGUGCCUGCCUUGAAAGCGGAGGGUGCCCGGGCGGGAGGGGGUUGCAGGGACCCCCGGAGAGCGGCUGCGGGCCCCAGCGGAGAGAGGAGAAAGCUUGCAUCGCCAGAGCCGCGCCGCUUCGGGCCGGGCAGCGCCUGGCGUCGCGGAGGCUCCGCGCCCGCGGAGAUUGUGCGGCCGCCGCCGGCCCCGCCGUGUUUGUUCAGUUUACGGGAACACAACCGGACAGCAAAACAGAUGCUCCGCAACCCAUUAAAAUGGGCCACCUGUUUUUCACAUCAUGCCCCAUCUCAAAGCUGGUUUUCUUCAUUAUAUCCCUCCCAACAGACACCAUGAAAUACAUCACUCAUUUAGAUAUGGAAGCCGACCUCUGGAGGACGACUUGCGCGGAGGACUUUGAUGUUGAGAGACAGAUUGCAAAAGACAGAAAGCCCCUUUCUAUGUUUCUAAUUACCCCGAACCCAGGGUCUGCCGCUGAUUAGGGUGGCGGGGCGAGGCGGGCGGGAGGCUCGGCUCUGCCCUGCCUGGCCCGGCAGGGCGAGGAGGGGCUGCCAGCCUCCUUAUAUCGCGCUGCCAGGAAAACCAACACGGGUGCAUAAACACAGCUACCGACUUAAAUCAACAGCGAGCUGCAGCUAACAGCAAACAGCCCGUGCCGGCGUGAAAACGGGGCAAAAAAAUUCUGCAUCCUCACCCGCACCCCCGCCCUCCCCGCCGCUGAAGAUUUAGGAGUAGACCAAAUCGGCUCCCGCAGCCAAAACUUUUGCAAAGCGGUGCGCUGAAAGCAUUACAGAGCUUGCUAACACUUCAGCUCACAUGCGAGCCUUUUAUCUCGGCAGUGCAGUUGGAAAAGCUGAAUCACCGCGGAGGGAGUGAGGACUGAAGGGUAUUUUUUCAUAUGCAUCAGGCUGCACUUUAUUUGAUCUUCACAGUCCCCAUUUCUAUCAAUAUUGCUAAAGCUGAGGGAUCAAACACGAAAAAAAUUAAAACCAUGCUAGUAUGCUAAAGAAGAUUAAGAUCGUGGCAAUAUAUUGACUGCUCCUUGGGGAAAUCAUGUUGUUGGCUGCAGGAACCGUAGCUGUCAAGGAGGGAAAGCUUGUGCUUCAGGAAUGGGCAAUGGGGAAGAGGUUUGGGAGCCUGCAUCCAAACUUGCCCAGGAACAAUCUCAAGUGCCCAUGAUCGCAAUGCCCCUCUGUGCUCCCAGCCCGGAUGCAUGGCCAUCACCCAUCCAAGGAGUCAACUCAGUUUGCCAAGCUAAGCCCAACUGUCCCCAUUUUUACACCCACAAGCAAGCAUCUCCAAGUGAGUCCCACCGGUAGUCUCAAGGGAUAUCAACUCCAGGCCCCAAAAUAGGAGUCCCACAUUUUCAAGUGUGGAUAGCUUCAAGAUCUCACUUAAAACCCCCAACUGGAAACAUGUAUAUGGGAGGUUUGGAGCUUCUGCUGGGGAAGAUUGUUCAAUCCAGAACUGUUCUACCGUCACAUCAUUCCCCUUUGACCCUUAGGAGUUAAUUUAUUUUGAAAAGAUUUAAUAACCUUUCGAAUUCCUGGCCACCUGUUCUGGCUGCUUAUGUGGAAGGAGAGCUUUUUUCAGAAAGCCCAGCCUCAGCCAUGAGGCCAGAAGUCCCUUGAAAACACAAGUCCAUGUCAUGCAUGCCUUUUCAGUGAGAGCUCCUCCAUGUCCAACAUCUCCAUCAUUCUCUGCUUUGCCAAGGUCUUGUCACCUUUCAGCUCAGGGUGGAAACCACCUCUUUCCUCAGGGAAACAGGGCCAGUGGUGGGCCCUUGUGUGUGUAUAUUUUGUAGCCUUUUGUAAGUUUUCUUACAUGGUAAAAUCUUUGUAGAGCUUUCUACUUUAAACAAGACAUCCCCUUUUUUUAAUGUUGUUUCUUCCUUUUCUCUCAGGAAACCCACUCCCUCGUGUAUUUGCAGCAAACUGAGAUGCAGCCAAUUGUAUUAGUUCUGGCUGGAGCAAAAAAGGCAUAAUGAAACACUGGAUGUGUUGUGUGAGUCCAAAAUAAAUGGUCACAAGCAGAGCCAGUAAAAACCUGCAAGCACAGACAGUCUGUGAAAAAGGAAAAGCUUGGACUCUACCUGCGGUACUCUGCAUUUUUCCAAAGGGAAAAAUGAACUUGAGGUUUAAAGAGCUUGGGAAGAGACGCUGGGGCACUGUGCCUUUUGAUUGCAUUUGUGAAUUGUGAUGAUGCUUGCAUUUUUUUGUGAAUACAGCAUCUGUAAGUGGGAGAAGGUGUUUUAUCUUCUGUUUUAACCUGUAUUCUCAAAGUGCAGCAGUUUGGUUUUUAUGUGCCAGAUGUCAAUGUGCCCUGAUUCUUCAAGCAGUUGGGAUUAAAGCUUUCCAGUAUCAGA